Long non-coding RNA from Diceros bicornis minor, 497 nucleotides. RefSeq lists it as uncharacterized. Lineage: Eukaryota; Metazoa; Chordata; Mammalia; Perissodactyla; Rhinocerotidae. The transcript is spliced from 3 exons. The record is from RefSeq and is a predicted model, not a curated record.
AUCAUAAACCAAGUCAAACAAGAUGAACAUAUGCACUUUGUUGAGCUGAGUGGUGGAAUGGUUUUUCCAGCAGCAACACACCUGUGUAACGACAUAAUUUCCAGUGUAAAAAGGACAUAUCAAUGUUAGAGCAAAAAAUGGAAAAAAAAGUCAAGGAAACAUUCCAAACAUAGAUAUUCAAGUUCUUCGUUUGACGGAUGAAGCAACUAAGGGAAUCAACGAGAAUGCAUUGGAGGAAUGUACUUACUCAGUCUUGGACAUCGAGCUCAACAAAGUGAGUGACUUUGGACAACUGGAUGUCAUCACACGUGAUUGGGCAUAAGCCUGUCAUGUGCUUGUGAGUGUUUGUUUACUCACUUGCUCCUCUGUCAUGAUCAUCCUAAGAACGUGCCUUGCCUAGCCUGCUAGUCCCAGGAGGAUGAAAGACACGUGGAGCGGGGCCUACCUCUUCUAACCAAGUCCAGCCGAGUUCCACAGACUCCCACCUGUCACAGAUG